RNAcentral lists this transfer RNA (76 nucleotides) under Deltaproteobacteria bacterium. RNAcentral describes it as "tRNA-His". It matches the Rfam family "tRNA". From Rfam's summary of the family: Transfer RNA (tRNA) molecules are approximately 80 nucleotides in length. Their secondary structure includes four short double-helical elements and three loops (D, anti-codon, and T loops). Further hydrogen bonds mediate the characteristic L-shaped molecular structure. tRNAs have two regions of fundamental functional importance: the anti-codon, which is responsible for specific mRNA codon recognition, and the 3' end, to which the tRNAs corresponding amino acid is attached (by aminoacyl-tRNA synthetases). tRNAs cope with the degeneracy of the genetic code in two manners: having more than one tRNA (with a specific anti-codon) for a particular amino acid; and 'wobble' base-pairing, i.e. permitting non-standard base-pairing at the 3rd anti-codon position. The record is from RNAcentral. Lineage: Bacteria; Pseudomonadati; Myxococcota; Myxococcia.
GUGGAUGUAGCUCAGUUGGUAGAGUGCAGGAUUGUGGCUCCUGUUGUCGCGGGUUCAAGUCCCGUCAUCCACCCCA